AUUGAACGCUGGCGGCAUGCCUUACACAUGCAAGUCGAACGGCAGCACGGGUGCUUGCACCUGGUGGCGAGUGGCGAACGGGUGAGUAAUACAUCGGAACGUACCUUAUCGUGGGGGAUAACGCAGCGAAAGCUGUGCUAAUACCGCAUACGCCCUGAGGGGGAAGCGGGGGAUCGCAAGACCUCGCGCGACUAGAGCGGCCGAUGCCUGAUUAGCUUGUUGGUGGGGUAAAAGCCCACCAAGGCGACGAUCAGUAGCUGGUCUGAGAGGACGAUCAGCCACAAGGGGACUGAGACACGGCCCAGACUCCUACGGGAGGCAGCAGUGGGGAAUUGUGGACAAUGGGGGCAACCCUGAUCCAGCAAUGCCGCGUGAGUGAAGAAGGCCUUCGGGUUGUAAAGCUCUUUUGUCAGGGAAGAAACACCGGCUCUAACACAGUCCGGGAAUGACGGUACCUGAAGAAUAAGCACCGGCUAACUACGUGCCAGCCGCCGCCGUAA
This 500-nucleotide ribosomal RNA is filed under the name uncultured bacterium. Its description in RNAcentral is "partial 16S ribosomal RNA". It matches the Rfam family "Bacterial small subunit ribosomal RNA", at positions 29 to 523 of the family's 1533-position model. The record is from RNAcentral.